RNAcentral lists this long non-coding RNA (761 nucleotides) under Brachypodium distachyon (stiff brome). RNAcentral's name for it is "long non-coding RNA (BDIS_LNC000771)". Lineage: Eukaryota; Viridiplantae; Streptophyta; Magnoliopsida; Poales; Poaceae. The record is from RNAcentral.
CGUCUCCCUCGCAUCCAUCGACAGGAGCUCCCCCAUGCCGACUCGAUUCCAACCCUAGCUGACCCGGCCGCCGCGCGCAUCUCCGGCGCUCCCGUCGGAUCCAUCUCCGGCGAGCCCGACCUCGUUCUCCGGUGAUCCCGCCCUCGUUCUCCCGCGAGCCCGCCCUCGCUCGCCCGCCUUCGGCCGCCCUCGCUCGCCCCGCCCCUCCAAGUGAUUCCGCCGCCACGGGGAUUCGUCGCCGCCACGGAGGUAAGAACUUCGCCGUCCCCCUCCACCAGACCGUAGUCGCCGUUCCCACUUCUAGGACCCCUAACCUCUGCUAUUCCCCAAUUUUCCAGGACAUUGCCGCCUGUGAACAAGGCUUUCUUCCCGGCCUCUGAUUCCUCUUCUCCAUCAAUUGCGCCUGGAAUUAGAAGGUGAAGGCGUUGUUCUUUUAUUUCCUCUUACCUGUUUCUCUCAUCCUCUCAUGUAUGUUGUGUGCAUGAAUUUGUUUGGUCUUGUACGUAUAUCACAAUGCAAUUUGAUGUGACAACAGAAUGGUAUUUCUGUAGUAUGGUUAUCGGGCUAUGUCGUGAACCUAUAGUGUAAGAACACUUGUUUUGAUGUGACUGUUUAAAACAUUUUGCGGGCUGCUCGUAUGGCUUUUUAAAGUAUUGUGAUAUGAUUAUUCAUGUUCAAAGCUGGGUUAUCAAAAUGAUUAAUUGCUGCGGGUUCAUUUUCUAGAGCAAACAGGUCGUGUGUUUGAUGUAUGUACACAACAC